Spinacia oleracea (spinach) is the source of this 902-nucleotide long non-coding RNA. RefSeq lists it as uncharacterized. The transcript has 3 exons. The record is from RefSeq and is a predicted model, not a curated record. Lineage: Eukaryota; Viridiplantae; Streptophyta; Magnoliopsida; Caryophyllales; Amaranthaceae.
UAUCAAUAUACUUAGUAAUCUUCGAAAUAUAUUACUUUGUACUUAAAAUGGAAGGAAAAUUUCUUUUCUACAAAUCCACAGAAAAAGUAGCAGCCAUUUUUUUCAUACUAACUCUCGUGCAAAUCAUGACCGGUAAAGCCGUUGGUAUGAGUUGUGGUAUAGACGGAGACUCCUGCCAAGCCACAGAUUAUCAUGUGUCGUGUUGUGUUGGAUUUCACUGCCUCGGAAGUAAAUGUAUAAAAGACAAGGGGAACUCAUGCGCAGAAGUCGGAGAUCAUUGUGGAAUUUUAAGUAAUCUAUGUUGCGGAUCACUUAGUUGUUCAGGCCACGUUUUUAAAGGCAUUUGUAAAUAGCAGUGAUAGUUGAUACCUAUCACAACACUCAUCUUAUAUGGUUCAUGGGGACUUACUUCUUUUGAGUUUGUUUAAUUAACUACUUUUAUGCAUGGGGGGUUUUCUUAACUUUGUUUGAUUUAAUUUGUGACAACUUCAUUUUUAUUUUUAUAUAUGUCGUAUGACUUUUUAUUAAUGAACUGAUUUAAUUAAUUACUUAAAAAAAAAUUUCUAUCUAUGUUAGUGUUUUAUAACAUAAAUCUUUGUAGUUUGUACCACGUUCAAAGUCGUCUAACCUUUCUGUCUUUCUUAUUUUAACCGCGAAUCCUUUUUUUAUAUUUUAUAUUUUUAGUAUUCACUCGAUCGUUUGUGUUCAAUAUUCUUAACUUUUCAACUCUUUAUUACGCGACCCUCUCAAAGCUAUAGUAUCUCUUAUACUCUUAUGCAAAGAUUUUUGAUAAGUGUUAUCUCCGCCAACUGAAGAUUUUAAUCCUGAACAUUCUUAUACUGUUGGUUAUUAAUUUGUUGCACAUCGAUUGUGUGGAGGAGUGGAUGCGGUUAAGCAAGUAC